CCUACGGGAGGCAGCAGUGAGGAAUAUAGGUCAAUGGACGAGAGUCUGAACCAGCCAAGUAGCGUGAAGGAUGACUGCCCUAUGGGUUGUAAACUUCUUUUAUAUGGGAAUAAAAUGUUCCACGUGUGGGAUUUUGUAUGUACCAUAUGAAUAAGGAUCGGCUAACUCCGUGCCAGCCGCCGCGGUAAUACGGAGGAUCCGAGCGUUAUCCGGAUUUAUUGGGGUUUAAGGGAGCGUAGGUGGAUUGUUAAGUCAGUUGUGAAAGUUUGCGGCUCAACCGUAAAAUUGCAGUUGAAACUGGCAGUCUUGAGUACAGUAGAGGUGGGCGGAAUUCGUGGUGUAGCGGUGAAAUGCUUAGAUAUCACGAAGAACUCCGAUUGCGAAGGCAGCUCACUGGACUGCAACUGACACUGAGGCUCGAAAGUGUGGGUAUCAAACAGGAUUAGAUACCCGAGUAGUC
RNAcentral lists this ribosomal RNA (460 nucleotides) under uncultured bacterium. RNAcentral's name for it is "partial 16S ribosomal RNA". It matches the Rfam family "Bacterial small subunit ribosomal RNA", at positions 338 to 795 of the family's 1533-position model. The record is from RNAcentral.